Molecule: transfer RNA, 71 nt
Filed under: Trichonephila inaurata madagascariensis
Lineage: Eukaryota; Metazoa; Arthropoda; Arachnida; Araneae; Nephilidae
Rfam family: tRNA
About the family: Transfer RNA (tRNA) molecules are approximately 80 nucleotides in length.
Source: Rfam by way of RNAcentral
GCAUCGGUGGUUCAAUGGUAGAAUGCUCGUUUCCCAAGCGAGAGACUCGGGUUCGAUUCCCGGCCGAUGCA